GGUUAAGCGACUAAGCGUACACGGUGGAUGCCCUGGCAGUCAGAGGCGAUGAAGGACGUGCUAAUCUGCGAUAAGCGUCGGUAAGGUGAUAUGAACCGUUAUAACCGGCGAUUUCCGAAUGGGGAAACCCAGUGUGUUUCGACACACUAUCAUUAACUGAAUCCAUAGGUUAAUGAGGCGAACCGGGGGAACUGAAACAUCUAAGUACCCCGAGGAAAAGAAAUCAACCGAGAUUCCCCCAGUAGCGGCGAGCGAACGGGGAGCAGCCCAGAGCCUGAAUCAGUGUGUGUGUUAGUGGAAGCGUCUGGAAAGGCGCGCGAUACAGGGUGACAGCCCCGUACACAAAAAUGCACAUGCUGUGAGCUCGAUGAGUAGGGCGGGACACGUGGUAUCCUGUCUGAAUAUGGGGGGACCAUCCUCCAAGGCUAAAUACUCCUGACUGACCGAUAGUGAACCAGUACCGUGAGGGAAAGGCGAAAAGAACCCCGGCGAGGGGAGUGAAAAAGAACCUGAAACCGUGUACGUACAAGCAGUGGGAGCACGCUUAGGCGUGUGACUGCGUACCUUUUGUAUAAUGGGUCAGCGACUUAUAUUCUGUAGCAAGGUUAACCGAAUAGGGGAGCCGAAGGGAAACCGAGUCUUAACUGGGCGUUAAGUUGCAGGGUAUAGACCCGAAACCCGGUGAUCUAGCCAUGGGCAGGUUGAAGGUUGGGUAACACUAACUGGAGGACCGAACCGACUAAUGUUGAAAAAUUAGCGGAUGACUUGUGGCUGGGGGUGAAAGGCCAAUCAAACCGGGAGAUAGCUGGUUCUCCCCGAAAGCUAUUUAGGUAGCGCCUCGUGAAUUCAUCUCCGGGGGUAGAGCACUGUUUCGGCAAGGGGGUCAUCCCGACUUACCAACCCGAUGCAAACUGCGAAUACCGGAGAAUGUUAUCACGGGAGACACACGGCGGGUGCUAACGUCCGUCGUGAAGAGGGAAACAACCCAGACCGCCAGCUAAGGUCCCAAAGUCAUGGUUAAGUGGGAAACGAUGUGGGAAGGCCCAGACAGCCAGGAUGUUGGCUUAGAAGCAGCCAUCAUUUAAAGAAAGCGUAAUAGCUCACUGGUCGAGUCGGCCUGCGCGGAAGAUGUAACGGGGCUAAACCAUGCACCGAAGCUGCGGCAGCGACGCUUAUGCGUUGUUGGGUAGGGGAGCGUUCUGUAAGCCUGUGAAGGUGUACUGUGAGGUAUGCUGGAGGUAUCAGAAGUGCGAAUGCUGACAUAAGUAACGAUAAAGCGGGUGAAAAGCCCGCUCGCCGGAAGACCAAGGGUUCCUGUCCAACGUUAAUCGGGGCAGGGUGAGUCGACCCCUAAGGCGAGGCCGAAAGGCGUAGUCGAUGGGAAACAGGUUAAUAUUCCUGUACUUGGUGUUACUGCGAAGGGGGGACGGAGAAGGCUAUGUUGGCCGGGCGACGGUUGUCCCGGUUUAAGCGUGUAGGCUGGUUUUCCAGGCAAAUCCGGAAAAUCAAGGCUGAGGCGUGAUGACGAGGCACUACGGUGCUGAAGCAACAAAUGCCCUGCUUCCAGGAAAAGCCUCUAAGCAUCAGGUAACAUCAAAUCGUACCCCAAACCGACACAGGUGGUCAGGUAGAGAAUACCAAGGCGCUUGAGAGAACUCGGGUGAAGGAACUAGGCAAAAUGGUGCCGUAACUUCGGGAGAAGGCACGCUGAUAUGUAGGUGAAGUCCCUCGCGGAUGGAGCUGAAAUCAGUCGAAGAUACCAGCUGGCUGCAACUGUUUAUUAAAAACACAGCACUGUGCAAACACGAAAGUGGACGUAUACGGUGUGACGCCUGCCCGGUGCCGGAAGGUUAAUUGAUGGGGUUAGCCGCAAGGCGAAGCUCUUGAUCGAAGCCCCGGUAAACGGCGGCCGUAACUAUAACGGUCCUAAGGUAGCGAAAUUCCUUGUCGGGUAAGUUCCGACCUGCACGAAUGGCGUAAUGAUGGCCAGGCUGUCUCCACCCGAGACUCAGUGAAAUUGAACUCGCUGUGAAGAUGCAGUGUACCCGCGGCAAGACGGAAAGACCCCGUGAACCUUUACUAUAGCUUGACACUGAACAUUGAGCCUUGAUGUGUAGGAUAGGUGGGAGGCUUUGAAGUGUGGACGCCAGUCUGCAUGGAGCCGACCUUGAAAUACCACCCUUUAAUGUUUGAUGUUCUAACGUUGACCCGUAAUCCGGGUUGCGGACAGUGUCUGGUGGGUAGUUUGACUGGGGCGGUCUCCUCCUAAAGAGUAACGGAGGAGCACGAAGGUUGGCUAAUCCUGGUCGGACAUCAGGAGGUUAGUGCAAUGGCAUAAGCCAGCUUGACUGCGAGCGUGACGGCGCGAGCAGGUGCGAAAGCAGGUCAUAGUGAUCCGGUGGUUCUGAAUGGAAGGGCCAUCGCUCAACGGAUAAAAGGUACUCCGGGGAUAACAGGCUGAUACCGCCCAAGAGUUCAUAUCGACGGCGGUGUUUGGCACCUCGAUGUCGGCUCAUCACAUCCUGGGGCUGAAGUAGGUCCCAAGGGUAUGGCUGUUCGCCAUUUAAAGUGGUACGCGAGCUGGGUUUAGAACGUCGUGAGACAGUUCGGUCCCUAUCUGCCGUGGGCGCUGGAGAACUGAGGGGGGCUGCUCCUAGUACGAGAGGACCGGAGUGGACGCAUCACUGGUGUUCGGGUUGUCAUGCCAAUGGCACUGCCCGGUAGCUAAAUGCGGAAGAGAUAAGUGCUGAAAGCAUCUAAGCACGAAACUUGCCCCGAGAUGAGUUCUCCCUGACCCUUUAAGGGUCCUGAAGGAACGUUGAAGACGACGACGUUGAUAGGCCGGGUGUGUAAGCGCAGCGAUGCGUUGAGCUAACCGGUACUAAUGAACCGUGAGGCUUAACCUU
RNAcentral lists this ribosomal RNA (2906 nucleotides) under Escherichia coli. RNAcentral's name for it is "23S ribosomal RNA". It matches the Rfam family "Bacterial large subunit ribosomal RNA". The record is from RNAcentral. Lineage: Bacteria; Pseudomonadati; Pseudomonadota; Gammaproteobacteria; Enterobacterales; Enterobacteriaceae.